Long non-coding RNA from Brassica napus (rape), 2979 nucleotides. RefSeq lists it as uncharacterized. NCBI's taxonomy places the organism in Eukaryota, Viridiplantae, Streptophyta, Magnoliopsida, Brassicales, Brassicaceae. The record is from RefSeq and is a predicted model, not a curated record. The transcript is spliced from 8 exons.
ACACCAAAAAUACUUGAAAUAUCUAUUGAUUUUCUAUCCAAAUAUUCAAACCAACCAAUUUACAUGUUAAUUUAUGUAUUUUGACAUAUGUUAUUCAAAUUUAUAUGUAAUAUAUUAUUUUGGUUAUAGAUUUUGAGAAAUUUUAAACAUAUAAUAUAAUGAAUUUUAAUUUUUUUUUAAAUAAUUUAAAUGGUUUAUCCGAAUCUGAACUGAAUCCGUAAAGAUCCGAACCGAGCCGGAAUAGGUAUCCGAACAUCCAUCCCUAUAACCAGUGGUAAAAAGAGCCAUGAGUGAUAAAAAUGAGCCACCGAUCACUGGAACCUAAUUAUUUUUAUCAAAAUGUUCUUAGAGAGAGGUCGGAGAAAUUCUAGAGAGAAAUUAAAUAUUUAGAUCUAAAAUUCAAUGAAAUUUUUUUUCACUCAAAAAUUAAUAUACAACACCUUUAAUCAUUUAUUCAAUAAUUUGGUGCAGACAAGAUAACAAUAAGAUAAAAUAAAAUAAAAUCAAAUCUAUCAUCAUCAUCAUCAUCAAUACAAUACUAAAAGGGGAAUAAGGGCUCCCCUCAUGCUUCCACGUCCUCAAUAAUAAUCAGCCAAUAGGGUGUCUUUUUUUCUCCACGUCAUCUAUAAAUCGGGGCCAGGCUUUUGGGAUCUUCGAUCUCCGUAAAUCAGUUCUCUGCGCCUCAUAUACAGCCCAGGUGAAAAACACUUGACAAACCCUAAUCCUCUAAAACGUCCAUCUACUCACUCAUUCCAUUCAAUCUGUCUUCUCAGUUUCAUCUUCUUUGUAAUUAAUCAAGCAGUUGAGUAAUUUAUUUUGAGAGGGAGAGAAACAGGCGAUCGAUUAGGGUUUGUGUUCAUCGGAAAUUUCUAUAACGAUCGGAGGCAUGAGCUCGACGGGGAAUCUGAUAACGUCAAUCCAGGGCCUAUCAGCGAGCUCCGGGGACUUAUCCGCACUCCACCGUAUUCUCAAAGGAGCUGAGGAGACGCUCCGAGCCGAUUCGGAUCUUGAACUCUCUACUCUCGAACAGCUCGAACCUUUAUUGGACUGGAAAUGCUCAUCAUUGACAAACAGAGCACAAUAGCACAAUGAUGCACGGGUCCGUCCCAUCAAGCAGUGUUCAAAUACUUGCAUCAAACCAUGAAAGAUUUACAGCCUUUGUGGACUGAAAGAUUUUGUUGGCCACGUGAAGGUGGUGAAUGGACAGCUCCCAUCCUUGACGAAGUGGAAAUAGCAAACACACGGCGUCUUAUGAUGAAUGAAUGGUACCUGUUAUGAAGCUGUACUUUUGGGACAAGACUGCAACAGAUUUCUGCAAGAAAUUCAUAUCCUAUGAAAACACUCCCACCAUGCUUUAACUACUAUUAACACAAAACGUCUUGGAGGUAAUAAUUCCUCUCUUUAGAUAGCUAACUCACUGCUAAUGUUUUUGCAGCAUUUAGUUUUUUGCAUGUUUCGACCCUCUUCCUCUUUGUAGUCUAUGCUUUCAUUGGAUCAAAUUUCUUUGAAUGAUUAUUGUUUCUCUAUAGUAUUAAUUCCUCUCUUUAGCUUCUCUUGCAUUGGUUUGUCUUAAGUUUUGAUAUCAAUUGUGUGAUUUUUAUCAUCUGCGAUAAAGCUGAAAAGAAGUGGCGUACUUUAGCUACCUUUCCUUUGCUUAUAAUUAUAUUCUUUUAGUUGAGUAUGAAACCAAGAAUUUCAACUAAUCUGUGGUUUGGUUCAUGCUACAUGUUUUUUUGUUCUGAACUAUUUUAGUUUGCUUUCUUAGGUUGUUCUAUAAAUCGUUUCCUUUCUGUAAUUGUGCAUUGUCUCAACACUUUCAAACACAUGCUGAAAGAAGUAGCUAUCUAUGUACUCAGUAGGUUUGAUGGUAACUUCUGUUAAUUUUCAAAGGCGGAGCAUUGCGCUUAUGCAUAAAUGAUUUACAAGUUUUUGGAGGUUCAUGACAUUGGAAAGACACAUGCUUCGUACUAUAUAGUUUAUGCUUUGCACAUGGAUUCUAAGGUGGAAAACGCCACUGAGAUCUUCAGUCUCAGAAUAUCUAGAAAGGCAAAGUCUAUGGAAAAGUUGAAUGAUUCUUACAAAAAUUCAUGGUGAGAGCUAUGAGAAGAUCCAAACAGCUGAUGAAGUAAGAUACUUAAUGUUUCUACCUACCAGGAGGAUCCAAAAGAGAAUGACCUCUGUCAAGAAGUUGUGGCACUAUAUUGUCUAGGGGAGAUAAUCGAUAAUAAAAGAACGUUUGGAUCAGAAGCCAAAAACCCAAAGCCGAAAUUCUCAUUCAUGGCACCUUCUCCUAUGUACACUGACACUACAUGCUUGGAGGUAGAACACAAAUGAUCAACAGGAACACCAUUGUACGGAUCCACUUGUGGGAGGAGAAUGGUGGAGGAUAUUUUCACCAGCUGCAUUUGAACAUAGAAGAGAGAAAUAGAUCAGGAGGGAGACGGUCCCACCUACCGGCCGAAUUCUCAAGUGUGCCAAUACCAGGGGAGAAAAUGAGUGUGAGACUGAGAGUCGGAAUAUUUUAGCACUUACGGAUCAUAUCAAUUUUCAAAGCUAGGAUCAUACAAAAAAAGGAGUCGUAACUGAGCUAUACACUCCUAGGAAAUGGUCCGCCUCAAACAAAUUGAUCACCUUAAAGGAUCAUUGCUUCUGUUAGUCUUCCAUAGUUGUAUUUAGCAAAAAGUAUGAUUGUGUUUAUCUUUCAACGUUUUCAUUUUUUGAAACAUAACUAUGAUACUAAAAAUGUUUGUACAAGUAGUUGUUUCUAAAUAAUUAUUAGUAUAAAACAGCGGUGGAUAUGAAACUAUUUUACUAAAUUCUUUUUCAUGUUCCACCGUCUGUCUUAUUUAUCACUUAUCAGUCGUACUCAUGUAUCUAUAGUACUAUUUUUUUUCAUCUGAUCACUUUUGUUUACUUGAAACUAUUAUAAUUACUAACGUAUUUCUAUGGUUUUACCCGAGCAUAAAAGUUUCAACUGUA